UAUUUAUAAACCUAUUGCUCGCG
Molecule: small nuclear RNA, 23 nt
Filed under: Arabidopsis thaliana (thale cress)
Lineage: Eukaryota; Viridiplantae; Streptophyta; Magnoliopsida; Brassicales; Brassicaceae
Description: snRNA_07338
Source: RNAcentral